Molecule: ribosomal RNA, 301 nt
Filed under: uncultured bacterium
Lineage: Bacteria
Description: partial 16S ribosomal RNA
Rfam family: Bacterial small subunit ribosomal RNA
Source: RNAcentral
CAGUCGCCGCGGUAAUGCGAAGGGGGCUAGCGUUGUUCGGAUUUACUGGGCGUAAAGGGAGCGUAGGCGGAUUUUUAAGUCAGGGGUGAAAUCCCAAGGCUCAGCCUUGGAACUGCCUUUGAUACUGGAGAUCUUGAGUCCGGGAGAGGUGAGUGGAACUGCGAGUGUAGAGGUGAAAUUCGUAGAUAUUCACAAGAACACCAGUGGCGAAGGCGGCUCACUGGCCCGGAACUGACGCUGAGGCUCGACAGCGUGGGGAGCAAACAGGAUUAGAUACCCCAGUAGUCCCUGUCUCUUAUAC